Molecule: ribosomal RNA, 418 nt
Filed under: Neotrevathana elongata
Lineage: Eukaryota; Metazoa; Arthropoda; Thecostraca; Balanomorpha; Pyrgomatidae
Description: Neotrevathana elongatum partial 16S ribosomal RNA
Rfam family: Archaeal large subunit ribosomal RNA
Source: RNAcentral
GCAGUAUUCUAACUGUGCUAAGGUAGCAUAAUCAUUAGUCUUUUAAUUGGGGACUGGUAUGAAUGGCUUAACGAGAAAUUGACUUUUUUUGUUACAUAAAUUGAACUUAAUUUUUUAGUGAAAAAGCUAAAAUUUUUCAAAAAGACGAGAAGACCCUAUAGAGUUUUAUAUUUUGUUUUAUUUUUUUUUAUUAGAUUUUAUAAAAAAUAAUAAUAAUAAAUUAUUUUGUUGGGGCGACAUUAAGAUAAAUAAAACUCUUAUUUUUAUUAAUUUUAUUAAAAAUAUAUUUUGAUCCUUUAUAAAAGAUCAUAAGAAAAAAUUACCUUAGGGAUAACAGCGUAAUCUUUUUUGAGAGUUCUAAUCGACAAAAAGGUUUGCGACCUCGAUGUUGGACUAAAAUUUAGGCAAGGUGCAGUAG